This 417-nucleotide long non-coding RNA is filed under the name Homo sapiens (human). RNAcentral describes it as "HSALNT0195849". The record is from RNAcentral. Lineage: Eukaryota; Metazoa; Chordata; Mammalia; Primates; Hominidae.
GUGAAGAUUCCAAUUUUCCAACAUUCUAAAGCUUUUAAAGGCCAACAGAGAUCAUAUUGCAGAAUGCAGAGCUGGAGGUGGAGAUGGAGAGGGAAGAUUGGCCAGCACCUGCAAAGGCCUUGAGUUUACAUAUCUGUGAAGGUUGAAUCAACUCCAUCUUGGAUGCUAAUCUGCCAUGUUAGCUUCUGAUUAACCCGUUUUGGGAAAGCCUCUGAGAUUUCCAGUUUAUCUGUUGUUCGUCGUGUAAGAGGACUGUACUUCCUGCAAAUCCUGCCCUCAGGGCAAUUUCCUACCUAUUCUCUGUGAAACAUGUAUGCCUCUCCCCUAGAGUAUAUAAUCUCUGGGUCUGGAGGCUAUUGGUGCCGCAGGGAUCCACCAUCUUGUCUUUCCACCACCCAAGACACAGGCAUGGUUUCU